UGUAUAUAACAUUAUUUUGAUUAAAUGCAAAAUUAAAACUUGCAUCUCUAAGUUAUUCUUUUUUUUCCCCACCUUAGGAUGUUCUUAAUGCCAAAAACUCAGCCAUUAAGGAUCUACAGUAUGAUCUUGCAAGAGCAUGCAAGGCACAUAAUGACUUGAUCAGAACUUAUGAAGCCAAACUUAAACAGUAUGGAAUACCCAUAGAGAACUGUGGAUUUGUGCCAAUGAAUCCAAAAGGACAACAACUUGGUAAAGGACUAGCACAUCUUGUUUCAACACCUGAUUCUGAUGUUAAAUAAAAUCAUGACUGUUAGUAAAUUCCACUUUUUGUAAAAAUAUACCGAGUUAUUUUAAUAUAUUUUGUAACAUGGAUAUUUCAAAUUGUAAUCUUAUUUCUUUAAUGAAUUUAAUAAUGGAAUAAAAAUGUGAUAACAAUGUA
Long non-coding RNA from Limulus polyphemus (Atlantic horseshoe crab), 439 nucleotides. RefSeq lists it as uncharacterized. The transcript has 2 exons. The record is from RefSeq and is a predicted model, not a curated record. NCBI's taxonomy places the organism in Eukaryota, Metazoa, Arthropoda, Merostomata, Xiphosura, Limulidae.